RNAcentral lists this ribosomal RNA (253 nucleotides) under uncultured bacterium. RNAcentral's name for it is "partial 16S ribosomal RNA". It matches the Rfam family "Bacterial small subunit ribosomal RNA", at positions 524 to 776 of the family's 1533-position model. The record is from RNAcentral.
UACAGAGGUCUCAAGCGUUGUUCGGAUUCAUUGGGCGUAAAGGGUGCGUAGGCGGCGCCGUAAGUCGGAUGUGAAAUCUCGGGGCUCAACCCUGAAACUGCAUUCGAUACUGCGGUGCUAGAGGACUGGAGAGGAAACUGGAAUUCACGGUGUAGCAGUGAAAUGCGUAGAUAUCGUGAGGAAGACCUGUGGCGAAGGCGGGUUUCUGGACAGAUCCUGACGCUGAGGCACGAAGGCCAGGGGAGCAAACGGG